AGCCUGCCCACUGAAUAAUUUUUUAAAUGGCCGCAGUAUACUAACUGUGCAAAGGUAGCAUAAUCAUUAGUCUUUUAAUUGAAGGCUGGUAUGAAUGGUUGGACGAGAUAUUAACUGUUUCAUUAAAAUUUAUAAUAGAAUUUUAUUUUUUAGUCAAAAAGCUAAAAUGUAUUUAAAAGACGAGAAGACCCUAUAAAUCUUUAUAUUUAGAUUAUUAUAAUUUUGUAGAUUUUUUUUGUUAUAAUUAUUAAUAAUAUUUUAUUGGGGUGAUAUUAAAAUUUAAUAAACUUUUAAUUGUUAAAAUCAUUAAUUUAUGAAUAAUUGAUCCGUUAUUAGCGAUUAAAAAAAUAAGUUACUUUAGGGAUAACAGCGUAAUUUUUUUGGAGAGUUCAUAUCGAUAAAAAAGAUUGCGACCUCGAUGUUGGAUUAAGAUAUAAUUUUAGGUGUAGCCGCUUAAAUUUUAAGUCUGUUCGACUUUUAAAUUCUUACAUGAUCUGAGUUCAAACCGGUGUAAGCCAGGUUGGUUUCUAUCUUUAAAAA
This 540-nucleotide ribosomal RNA is filed under the name Chrysomya bezziana (Old World screwworm). RNAcentral's name for it is "partial small subunit ribosomal RNA". It matches the Rfam family "Bacterial large subunit ribosomal RNA", at positions 1856 to 2650 of the family's 2925-position model. The record is from RNAcentral. Lineage: Eukaryota; Metazoa; Arthropoda; Insecta; Diptera; Calliphoridae.